Molecule: ribosomal RNA, 51 nt
Filed under: Serratia sp. Ag1
Lineage: Bacteria; Pseudomonadati; Pseudomonadota; Gammaproteobacteria; Enterobacterales; Yersiniaceae
Description: partial 23S ribosomal RNA
Source: RNAcentral
UGAGGUAACCAGUAGUAAUGAACCGUGAGGCUUAACCUAACAACACCGAAG